GUAAUAAGAACUAAUAUAAUAAUUGGAAAUUGAUCAGGUAUGCAUCUUGUUCGUCUUUUCUUCCUUCCCCGGUGUAUUCCUUUGGAGGGGUGCAAUUACAGGCAGCAAGAAGGGACAUAACUUGCAGCUUCAACCAUCUUGUGGAGCUUUUGUUUUUCUUAAUUUUCAGGCUGACAAGUUCAUCUAUAAUUAUCGGCAGCAUGAAU
RNAcentral lists this unclassified non-coding RNA (206 nucleotides) under Hevea brasiliensis (rubber tree). Lineage: Eukaryota; Viridiplantae; Streptophyta; Magnoliopsida; Malpighiales; Euphorbiaceae. The record is from RNAcentral.